This 7314-nucleotide long non-coding RNA is filed under the name Lactuca sativa (garden lettuce). Its description in RNAcentral is "long non-coding RNA (LSAT_LNC002166)". The record is from RNAcentral. Lineage: Eukaryota; Viridiplantae; Streptophyta; Magnoliopsida; Asterales; Asteraceae.
AUCACCGUUCGGGCGCGGACUGAUCGUACACACAACUCUGCUCUGCGUUUUUCCAAAAAUCUUUUACUCUUUUUGAAAAUACUUCUCAAAUCCUCAGUUUGAGUUCAAAUACGCCCGAAGGUGUACUCGAAUCCCUCAAACCAAGGCUCUGAUACCAACUUGUAACACCGUAAAUUUCAAAACAAUUUUUCGCAUUUUAUAAAAACAUAAUUCAUUUAAUAUUCAUAAAAACAUCAAUGUUUGAAACUCAAUCCAUGCCAUAUAAAAAUCCCAAGAUCUCAUAACAUAAAAAUCCCGUGUGUGUGUACUGAUCAAGCCGGCGCCUUCCCACGGUCAUCACUAGUACCUGAAACAAAUAACACCAAACACUGUAAGCACAAAGCUUAGUGAGUUCCCCAAAAUACCACACAUAACACAUAUUAGCCACUCGAGGCUAUAACUCUGUGGGUCCGUGGACCCUACUCUGUGAACCCUCUGGUUCUAACUCUGUGAACCUUCCGGUUCCAACUCUAUAAACAUGCACAACAUAAAUCACAUAGAAAUAAUGCAGUACAACACAUAACAUACAUAUAGCAUACAAAUACUCUGUCACAUAACUCUGAUUACCUACUCAAGGUAAAGUAUAGUGAGAAGACUCACCUCGCGUAUCUCGAUAACUCGCAAAUCCCGGAAAUCACUCGCGCUCGAUCCCCCGAGCUAUAAUCCUCCUAUAACACAAUAUAUCUCUAAUUAACACUUUCACAACUAAGGUUGACUAACCCUAUCAAGUCAACACUGGUCAACUCUGGUCAAUGGUCAACGGUCAACUUUGACCGGACUCGGCGAGUGCACUAGAGCGACUCGGCGAGUCUAUACGUGUUCACUGACUCCCUCGGAUCCUCUCUUGACACGUCGAGUACUUCCCUAACUCGACGAGUUCCACCUGGCAUGAAUCGCGGGGCCACCACGACUCAACUCGCCGAGUCUCAAGAACAACUCGGCGAGUUCCGGCUUGACUCAGCCCCCUAUUGACUCUCCCUGACUCACUGGGUCAUCCCCCAACCCGGCGAGUCUACUCGCUGAACAAUUUACGUGAAACCCCAACCCUACUCGCCGAGUCUCAAGAACAACUCGGCGAGUUCAUGCCAUGCACAAACUCUAUUGACCUUCUGAGGUCAGAUCUGUUUCCCCAAACCAUAGAUCUGGCCUUCCCAAGCAUGAAUGUCACGUAAAGUUCGAAACUUGAUGCUUGUAUAACCCCCACAAGGCAUCAAAAGGAGAUUUGGUCCCAAAAAUGACAACCUAGGUCCAAUAACUCCAUAAUAACCCAAAAAGCUCCAAGGGUUAAGGUCUCUGGACCUCUUUGAGUCCAGAUCCAAGGCACAAACUCGAAGAGGGACCAUUUGCUUCACAUAAUCACUCUCCAAAGGGGUUAGAAAACCCUAACUCUAAAGAUCAACCCUAAAACUGAAGGAGGUUCGAACUAUUACCUCAAAAUGAAGCCUCUGGACUCUAGAUCUGCUGGAAUCUCACCUCCUCCUUGCUCUUGCCAUUUUCUUCUUGCUUAACAAGGAAUACAAAGGCCCAAAAGUGACUUCCUCUCUCCCAAAACGAUUUAGCUCUCUUAGGGUUCUCUCAAGGGUCUGGUAGCCGCAAUGGGAGGCUAUAAGUGCCCUUAAAUAGGCUCUAAACCCGGGGAAUUAGGGUUUCAUUAAACAGCGUACACUUGCCGAGUCCACUUUUGGACUCGUCGAGUCUAGACGCGAACCCGUGCCCAUAGCCGCGAUCAUACUCGGUGAGUUUGAGCUCCAACUCGCCGAGUCUCCUCACAAUCACCACAAUUAUAAGAAUGAAUAAUACAUGGGAAUCCAGGCUGUUACAAUUCUCCCCCACUAGAACUAGACUUCGCCCUCGAAGUCUCACUCUACAAAUAACUCUGGAUGCUGCUCGCGCAUCUCACACUCCGACUCCUAAGUCAUCUCGGACCCCUUCCGAUGCUGCCACUGAACCAAAACCAAGGGUACCUCCUUGUUCCUCAGAACCUUGAUUUUCUGAUCUCUGAUUGCCACUGGUCUCUCAGCAUAAUCCAUGCUCGCAUCCACCUGAAUAUCCUCUAAUGGAACCACUGCCGACUCAUCGGCUAUACACUUCCGCAAUUGCGACACGUGGAAAGUGUCGUGAAUCUGCCCCAACUCUGCUGGCAAUUCCGAACGAUAGGCUACCCUGCCUACCCUCGCGACCACUCAAAAUGGACCAAUAUAUCGAGGCUCCAACUUGCCCCUCUUCCUGAAUCGAAUCACUCCUUUCCAAGGAGAGAUCUUAAGGAGCACAAAGUCGCCGACCUGAAACUCAAGCUCGGACCGGCGUCUGUCCGCAUAACUCUUCUGACGACUCUAAGCGGUCAACAACCUCUGUCUGACCUGCUGGAUCUACUAUGUCGUCUGAAGCACGGUCUAUGUACUGCCCAUCAUUACGCUGUCCAACCUCUCCCCAGCAAAUGGGGAUCCUACACCUCCUCCCAUACAACAGCCCAAAGGGCGGCAUACUAAUGCUCGAAUGAUGGUUGUUGUUGUAGGAAAACUCUGCCAAGGACAAGUACGUAUCCCAACUCCCCCCAAAAUCCAACACGCAUGCUCGGAGCAUGUCCUCGAGCGUCUGAAUUGUCCGCUCACUCUAUCCGUCUGUCUGGGGGUGAUAUGCGGUACUAAAAUGCAAUCUAGUACCCAACUCCUCAUGAAACUUCUUCUAGAAUCUGGAAGUGAAACGUACAUCCCGGUUUGAGACAAUCGAGAUCGGCACCCCAUGCCGAGAUACCACUUCCCUCACGUACAUCUCUACUAACUUAUAUAUGGAGGAGCUCUCACUAAUAGCAAGGAGGUGGGCGGUCUUCGUCAACCUGUCCACAAUCACCCAAAUUGCAUCGACUCCCCUAGAAGUCCUUGGCAAUUUGGUGAUAAAAUCCAUGGUGAUCUAUUCCCGCUUCCAUUCGGGAACCUCCAACGGCUGCAACUUGCCAUGCAGUCUCUGGUGAUCGGCCUUAACCCUACGGCAGGUUAAGCACCUCUCAACAAACCACGCCACAUCCUUCUUCAUACAGGGCCACCAAUACCCCCUCCUUAGGUCCAAAUACAUNGCAGGUUAAGCACCUCUCAACAAACCACGCAACAUCCCUCUUCAUACAGGGCCACCAAUACUCCCUCCUCAGGUCCAAAUACAUCUUAGUGGCCCCAGGAUGGAUCGAGAAUUUCGACCGAUGAGCCUCUUCCAUCAAAAUGGUACGCGCCCCUCCCACAAACGGUACCCAUAUACGCCCCUGAAAAGUCAUAAGCCCCCGACCAUCGGUAACGAACUCCGAUACCAACCCAACAACUCGCUCUCUCUUCUGGUUCUCCGAUCUCACGGCCUCAGCCUGUGCUCCACGAAUGGUGUCCAACACCGGAGCCAUCACGGUCAAUCGCAAACAUACACCUCGCAAUGGGGCGCUCUCCGCCCUGCGACUCAGGGCGUCGGCUACCACAUUAGCCUUGCCCGGAUGGUACAGAAUCUCACAAUCAUAAUCCUUGACCACAUCCAACCACCUCCUCUGCCGCAUAUUUAGGUUGGGCUGAUCCAUCAAAUACUUCAGGCUCUUAUGGUCCGUGUAUAUCGUACACCGAACCCCAUACAGAUAGUGACGCCAAAUCUUGAGGGCGAACACCACUGCCCCCAACUCUAGAUCAUGGGUGGGAUACCUCGUCUCAUGAGGUUUCAGCUGCCUCGAUGCGUAUGCUAUCACAUGCCCUCUCUGCAUCAGCACCGCUCCCAACCCCAAGAUCGAUGCAUCACAGUAUACCACAAAGUCCUCCAUCCCCUCCGGGAGGGCUAACACCGGGGCUUCGCAUAACCUUUGGCGAAGCGUCUCAAAGGAGGCCUGCUGCUCGGGGCCCCAUGAAAAAGCGACACCCUUCCGGGUCAACUUGGUGAGUGGCACUGUGACUUUAGAGAAUCCUUGAUAAAUCUCCGAUAAUAACCUACCAACCCUAGGAAACUCCUGAUCUUGGAGGGUGACCUCGGCACCUCCUAACUCAUCACCGCCUCAACUUUGGCCGGGUCGACCAAUAUCCCUUCCUGGUUAACGAGAUGACCCAGGAACUGGACCUCUCGCAACCAGAAAUCACACUUGGAGAAUUUGGCAUAAAGCCUCUCCGAUCUCAGAACUCCGAGGAUCUCCCUCAAAUACUCCUCAUGCUGCUCUCUAGAUCUCGAAUAUACCAAAAUGUCGUCGAUGAAUACAAUCACCGACCGAUCCAACAUCGGCCUGCGCACUCGGUUCAUGAGAUCCAUGAACACUGCCGGGGCAUUGGUGAGUCCGAAAGGCAUCACCACAAACUCGUAAUGCCCAUAACGCGUCCUGAACGCUGUCUUCUGGAUGUCCUCAUCUCGCACCCUCACCUGAUGAUAUCCGGACCUCAAAACGAUCGUGGAGAACCAAGAUGCUCCCUGUAACUGAUCGAACAAAUCGUCGAUCCUCGGCAACGGGUAACGGUUCUUGACCGUCAGCUUGUUCAACUCCCGGUAAUCAAUGCACAUCCGGUGUGAACCAUCCUUCUUCUUGACAAACAGGAUAGGCGCUCCCCACGGCGAGCUGCUCGGCCGAAUAAACCCCUUUCCCAGCAGCUCCUGAAGCUGCGAGGAUAACUCUUUCAUCUCUGGAGGUGCAAGGCGAUAAGGCACCUUAGCGAUAGGCGCGACCCCCGGAACCAAAUCGAUACUGAACUCUACUUGCCUCACAGGAGGCACACCUGGCAACUCCACUGGAAAUACAUCCGGGAACUCACGCACUAUCGGAACCUCCUUAAUUGACCUCGGCCUCUCGGAAUCCACUCGCGUCUCCAUCACAUACGCCACAAAACCCUUACAGCCCUGCUGAAGACACUGCCUCACCCUAGCGGCCGAACAAAACGCUGACCCAGAACGUGUACCCUCGCCGUACACCGUAAGGACUCCCCCACUAGGGUCUCGUAUGGUCACCAGCUGUCGCUCGCAGUCAAUAACCGCACCGAAUCUGCUCAACCAGUCCAUGCCCACAAUGACACAGACAUCACCCAUCGCAAUAGGAACCAAAUCAAUCGGGAACUCAACACCGAAAAUCUCGACUACGCACCCUCGGAGAACCUCCGUGGCAUAUAUCACCCUCUCGUCAGCUAUGGAAACUCUCAGAGGCCGACUCAACGCCUCACGACUAACACUGAUAUGCUGACUAAAAGCCAAAGAUACAAAAGACCGACUCGCACCCGAGUCAAAUAACACCAAGGCAGGUACAGAAUUCACAAGAAAAGUACCUACGCAUAACAUAAUAUAAGCAUAAUAUCUCAACAUCAAAAUAAAUACACGAAAGAAUACAUACCAGCCACGACAUCAGGCGCUGCACGGACCUCCUCCGCGGUCAACUGAAAGGCUCUCCCUCGUGCCCUCGGCGCCUCGGCCUUCACUGGCCGACUCUCGGUAGCUCUGAUGGCGGCAGGGGCAGAUCCCUGAGGUGCUCCCUGAGAUGAUCCUCGCAACUGCGGACACUCUGCCUUCCGGUGUCCGGUCUGAUUGCAGUGAAAACACACCGCAAACCCCUUGGGGCAGUCCUUGGCCAUGUGCCCCUCCUUGCCACACUUGUAGCAAGAUCCCGCUCUACAGACUCCAUCAUGACCCUUGCCACACUUCCCACAAGUGCGGCCCUUCUGGCUCCCUGGUUUGGGAUCAGCGGGCUUGGCCCGCUUGGCUGCCGGCUGAGACUGUGCCGGUCGCCGAUCCCUCCCCUGAGACUUCGCCUCCUCCCUGGACUGAGUCUCUAGCUCGAUCUCCCUAUUCCGGGCAUUUGCCUGAAGCUCGGUAAAUGUCCGGUACGAGGAGUUCGCCACGAACUCCCGAAUGUCUCGCCUGAAAAUACUCAAAUAUCGGCUCAUACGUUCCUGCUCAGUGGACGCGUGCUCAGGGCAGAACAUCGCCCUCUCGUGGAACAUCCUGGUAAUCACCGUAACAGACUCAGUACCCUGCUUGAGGGUCGGAAACUCCUGGGCCAAACACUCCCUCUCGACCUGGGGAAUGUACUCAUCUCGGAACAUAGCAGUGAACCUCUCCCAGGUCACUGCUACAAGCUCAGCUGGCGUGUAGUGCACCGUCACAAAUUUCCACCAGUCCUUCGCUCCCAAGCGAAGCUGGUUCAGCGCGAAUCGGGCUCUCAAAUGCUCAGGAGAUGAGAAAGUGAAGAAACACCCCUCUAUGUCAGAAAUACAUCUCAUAGCCGUCAUCGGGUCCUGGGUCCCAUCAAACUCCAACGGAAUAGCUGUGNAACAGCAGCCUCAGAAAGAGCAGCAUAACGCUCGUCGAAAGUCUCAAUCAACGUGGUCUUAAUAGACACGAACAUCUCUGGUAUCUCUGCCCUGAUGGCCGCAGCCACCUCCUCAUGGAUGACCUGGAGGAUCUCCUCAUCACUGGCCCCACUGCUCUCAGGCAUAAGACGUGUCCACACCAUGAUCUACCUCUGAAAUACAACAUAUGAUAAAUUAGAAUCCAUUCGAGCAUACUCACACUCGAUAACUUAUUCCUCCUUGACCCUUGGCAUUCCAAAGAUUCUUACUUGGGCUAUACACCGCCCAGGUGCUUUCAGUAAUAUGGGCCCAAUACUACUGUCCGCACCGUAUCAGAAUACACCCCAAGUCCUCUUCUUCGGAUCCCAAUUCCAAGUACUCUAUUAUGCAUAAUCCACUCUCUAGCAGAUCUCUCAUAAGUCCCUCGCUGCUACCUACUCACUCUCAAGCAUCUCAAAGCAGCUCACCUCUCCCUAGGCUAAGGCAUCACAAACAGGCCACUCUAGUCCUAAUAGGAGUACCUAGCCUACUCUAGCAUGAGAAUACAACAUAUCCAUAUCAAUAUCACAUAACAUGAGGGUAUUUUGGGAAAUCACCGUUCGGGCGCAGACUGAUCGUACACACAACUCUGCUCUGUGAUUUUCCAAAAAUCUUUUACUCUUUUUGAAAAUACUUCUCAAAUCCUCAGUUUGAGUUCAAAUACGCCCGAAGGUGUACUCAAAUCCCUCAAACCAAGGCUCUGAUACCAACUUGUAACACCGUGAAUUUCUAAACAAUUUUUCUCAUUUUAUAAAAACAUAAUUCAUUUAAUAUUCAUAAAAACAUCAAUGUUUGAAACUCAAUCCAUGCCAUAUAAACAUCCCAAGAUCUCAUAACAUAAAAAUCUCGUAUGUUCGAACUAUUACCUCAAAAUGAAGCCUCUGCACUCUAGAUCUGCUAGAAUCUCACCUCCUCUUUGCUCUUUCCACCUUCUUCUUGCUAAACAAGGAAUACA